GACGAACGUUGGCGGCGUGCUUAAUACAUGCAAGUCAACUGAAGCAGUGGUAGCAAUAUCGCUGUGGAGGUGGCGCACGGGUGAGUAACACGUAGGUAAUCUGCCUUCAGGUCUGGCAUAACUCCGGGAAACCGGGGCUAAUAGCAGAUGAUGCAGCGGCUCGACAUCGAGACAGUUGUUAAAGCUAUGGCGCCUGAAGAUGAGCCUGCGUCUGAUUAGCUAGUUGGCGGGGUAACGGCCCACCAAGGCAACGAUCAGUAGCUGGUCUGAGAGGAUGAUCAGGCACACUGGAACCGAGACACGGUCCAAGAUACUACGGGGGGCAGCAGGAAGGAAAAUUGCUGAAAGGGAGAAAUCCUGGAGCAGCAACGGCGCGUGAAGGACGAAGGGCUUUUGGUUGUAAACCUCUUUAGGGAGAGAAAAAAAUCCCAAUCUUUGGGACAUGAUGGUAUCUCAAAAGUAAGCCCCGGCUAACUACGUG
Molecule: ribosomal RNA, 481 nt
Filed under: uncultured bacterium
Lineage: Bacteria
Description: partial 16S ribosomal RNA
Rfam family: Bacterial small subunit ribosomal RNA
Source: RNAcentral